RNAcentral lists this ribosomal RNA (225 nucleotides) under uncultured bacterium. Its description in RNAcentral is "partial 16S ribosomal RNA". It matches the Rfam family "Bacterial small subunit ribosomal RNA", at positions 111 to 334 of the family's 1533-position model. The record is from RNAcentral.
UAACGCGUGGGUAACCUGCCUCAUACAGGGGGAUAACAGUCGGAAACGGCUGCUAAUACCGCAUAAAGCAUCAAAUUCGCAUGUUUUUGAUGCCAAAGGAGCAAUCCGCUUUUAGAUGAGCUCGCGUCUGAUUAGCUGGUUGGCGGGGUAACGGCCCACCAAGGCGACGAUCAGUAGCCGGACUGAGAGGAUGAACGGCCACACUGGAACUGAGACACGGUCCAG